CUCACGUCGCAGUUCAUGGAGCAAUGGUCGGAUAUACAGGCUUCACCGUUGGUCCUGUCAAUGGCAUACAUGCUUACAUUCCAUUUAACGUAUGUUCUAUUGCACCUUUAAUAACUUCUCAAUCUGUGAACACCGCUUGAUGUUGUAAAUCAAAUUGUCGCAUUACUC
Long non-coding RNA from Hibiscus syriacus, 168 nucleotides. RefSeq lists it as uncharacterized. The transcript has 3 exons. The record is from RefSeq and is a predicted model, not a curated record. NCBI's taxonomy places the organism in Eukaryota, Viridiplantae, Streptophyta, Magnoliopsida, Malvales, Malvaceae.